This 502-nucleotide ribosomal RNA is filed under the name uncultured bacterium. RNAcentral describes it as "bacterial SSU rRNA". It matches the Rfam family "Bacterial small subunit ribosomal RNA", at positions 28 to 524 of the family's 1533-position model. The record is from RNAcentral.
GACGAACGCUGGCGGCGUGCUUAACACAUGCAAGUCGAGCGAGGUUCAACCAGUGGCAACACCGGGGUAGACCUAGCGGCGAACGGGUGAGUAACACGUGAGCAACCUGUCCCGGAGUCUGGGAUAACACCGGGAAACCGGUGCUAAUACCGGAUACCCCCACGGAAUCGCAUGGUUCUGUGAGGAAAGACUGAGUCUAAUAAAUUCAGGUGCUUCGGGAGGGGCUCGCGGGCUAUCAGCUUGUUGGUGAGGUAACGGCUCACCAAGGCGACGACGGCUCGCUGGUCUGAGAGGACGACCAGCCACACUGGGACUGAGACACGGCCCAGACUCCUACGGGAGGCAGCAGUGGGGAAUCUUGCGCAAUGGGCGAAAGCCUGACGCAGCAACGCCGCGGUGGGGGAUGACGGUCUUCGGAUUGUAAACCCCUUUCAGCAGGGACGAAUCUGACGGUACCUGCAGAAGAAGCCCCGGCCAACUACGUGCCAGCCGCCGCAGUAAC